AUGGGGCUUUGCCGAGUGCUUUUGGCUCCCGGCGCCAGCAGCGGCUCCCUCCUCGCCGCUGCCCCAUUCCCCUCGCUCCCUGCCCCAAAGCACAGCCCCACACAGGACGGGCAGCCCGAUGCACUGGGGACGCUUGAAAGAGAAAGCCCCGAGUGGGCGGCAGGGGAGGAAUGCGGGCUCAGCGGCGAGCCCCCCGCAGCCCCCGGCCUUUGUGGCUUUUUUGAUGUUUUGUCCCCUCGCAGCCUGCGCAGGUGUGAGCGAUACAUCAGGGCGGCGGAGAAGAAAGGGAGAGGAAGCCCGCACACUUCACAGGCUGGGAAUUCAAAGCUUUUAUGGUUAUCGUCCCGUUUCCCCGGCUGCAGGAAAGCCGAGAGGGGCUGCAGGUGGGAGAAGGCAGAAAUCCCCCAGCGAGGGCAGCAGGAUGGGGGCGAGGGCGGCAGGACAGAGUCACAGGCAGCUGCGAUCACCCAUUCCUGGAGCCUUGGUGGGUGCUGGCCAUGGUGGCGUUGUCACCAGCACAGUGGCAUUGUCACCAGCCGUGGCUGCGCAGCCACCAGCCACCAACGCUCGCGCGAGGGUGAGACCCGCGCGCCCCAGACCGCCGGCGGUGGCUCCCCUCCGCCCUGCUUUAAGCCUUUCCGCUCGGAAAUUUUUCCUCCAGACACUUUGACCUCGGGGGGAGCGAGUAUUUUUCAUGUAGAUCAGGCGAAAUUCCCCCGGAGACAGCGCAGGAAUGCAAAGCAUGUUAUCCUUGGUACCAGCUCUUUCUUUUUACAGCCUAAGCUUGGCCAAGCCAGCGGGCAGGGGGAGGGGACGUCUGGGGUCCCGCCGUCUUUCCCACUGCUGAUUGCCAGCUGCCCCCGCACCCCCUCCUCCUCCUCCUCCUCGGGAGGAAGGCUGCUGAGCCAGGCAGAGCCACCGAGUCCCCCUGUGCCGGGGCAUUUGCAGCAGGGUGGCACAGAUCGGGGCGAGGCAACGCCAGCGGCAUCCCGAAACACAAGGCGAGCGCCUCGGGUGCUCGGCAGGUCCCAGCACGAGGGAGCAGCCUCCGGUGCGGUUUCGGGCACUCCUUGGGCACGCAGAGAGGCACCCGGAGCAAUGGGGAUGCUGUGGGGACGUCUGGGAGCUCCACCAGCAAAUACUUUAUUUUAUUGA
This 1155-nucleotide long non-coding RNA is filed under the name Anser cygnoides (Swan goose). RNAcentral's name for it is "lncRNA (ENSACDG00005001452.1)". Lineage: Eukaryota; Metazoa; Chordata; Aves; Anseriformes; Anatidae. The record is from RNAcentral.